Molecule: long non-coding RNA, 736 nt
Filed under: Capsicum annuum
Lineage: Eukaryota; Viridiplantae; Streptophyta; Magnoliopsida; Solanales; Solanaceae
Description: long non-coding RNA (CANN_LNC007756)
Source: RNAcentral
CUCUCUUUGUUCCUUCAAUAUAUUUGCUUUUUGUUCACUGUGAUGGUGAGUGUGUGUAUUUUUGUAUUCUAUUGUAUGUGUAUAUAUGUUUAUUUAUGUGAAUCAAAUGAAAAAAUAGAGGCAUGCCCAUAUGGAGUGGGAUGGGUAUGUGUAUAUUCCUAUUUUUCCUUCAAUUCUCCUCCUCCUCUGUUGUGUGGAAUUAUACGGUGUACUGUAUCUAUGAUGUGUGUUUUUCUUAGAUGUGUAUUAGUGUGUGUGUGUGUUGAGUGAAUAUCCGUGUAUUAUGUGAGUUUUUCGUGAGUGCUUUCCUUUUUGUGAGUAUUUUUUUAUGGUCAAUCUUAUUCUGUGAGGUGUCUGUUGUGUUAUGAAUUGUGCAGCUGUGUGUAAAAUGUGAGGAGGUAAGGGUAGGGGGUAUAUAGGGUAGGGGUAGGGGUAGGGGUAGGGGAUAUAUGGGUGUGUGGGUAGGGUAGUGGUUGUUAUUUUUGUUAGGGUGAUGUGUCAAAAGUGAGGUAUUUUUGUUAGGUUAGUUACUUUUUGUCUUUUAUGGGGAGAUUAUUAAAUGGGUAAGGGUGUGUGAUAAUGUGAGGCAAAAAGUGGAUAAAUUGGAUUUUCAGGAGGGAUAAAAUUAGGUGUCUAUAUCUUACUCCUCUUUGGAUGUAAACACAAAGUGUUUGCAGACAAAGAAGUAGACAACGAGAUAGAAUUUUGACCCGACCAUUAUUCGAAUGGGAGAAAU